Molecule: ribosomal RNA, 865 nt
Filed under: [Graphium] rubrum
Lineage: Eukaryota; Fungi; Ascomycota; Leotiomycetes; Helotiales
Description: LSU rRNA
Rfam family: Eukaryotic large subunit ribosomal RNA
Source: RNAcentral
UAACGGCGAGUGAAGCGGUAACAGCUCAAAUUUGAAAGCUAGCUCUUUUAGGGUUCGCAUUGUAAUUUGUAGAAGAUGCUUCGGGUGUGGCCCCGGUCUAAGUUCCUUGGAACAGGACGUCAUAGAGGGUGAGAAUCCCGUAUGUGACUGGGUGCUUUCGCUCAUGUGAAGCUCUUUCGACGAGUCGAGUUGUUUGGGAAUGCAGCUCAAAAUGGGUGGUAAAUUUCAUCUAAAGCUAAAUAUUGGCCAGAGACCGAUAGCGCACAAGUAGAGUGAUCGAAAGAUGAAAAGCACUUUGGAAAGAGAGUUAAACAGUACGUGAAAUUGUUGAAAGGGAAGCGCUUGCAACCAGACUUGCGCGCUGAUGAUCAUCCGGGCUUCUGCCCGGUGCACUCGUCUGCGCUCAGGCCAGCAUCGGUUUCGGUGGUGGGAUAAAGGCCUUGGGAAUGUAGCUCCUCUCGGGGAGUGUUAUAGCCCUCGGUGCAAUGCCGCCUACCGGGACCGAGGACCGCGCUUCGGCUAGGAUGCUGGCGUAAUGGUUGUAAGCGACCCGUCUUGAAACACGGACCAAGGAGUCUAACAUCUAUGCGAGUGUUUGGGUGUCAAACCCAUACGCGUAAUGAAAGUGAACGGAGGUGAGAACCCUUAAGGGUGCAUCAUCGACCGAUCCUGAUGUCUUCGGAUGGAUUUGAGUAAGAGCAUAGCUGUUGGGACCCGAAAGAUGGUGAACUAUGCGUGAAUAGGGUGAAGCCAGAGGAAACUCUGGUGGAGGCUCGCAGCGGUUCUGACGUGCAAAUCGAUCGUCAAAUUUGCGUAUAGGGGCGAAAGACUAAUCGAACCAUCUAGUAGCUGGUUCCUGCCGAAU